Molecule: ribosomal RNA, 422 nt
Filed under: uncultured soil bacterium
Lineage: Bacteria
Description: bacterial SSU rRNA
Rfam family: Bacterial small subunit ribosomal RNA
Source: RNAcentral
AGGACGAACGCUGGCGGCGUGCUUAACACAUGCAAGUCGAGCGGAAAGGCCCUUCGGGGUACUCGAGCGGCGAACGGGUGAGUAACACGUGAGUAAUCUGCCCUUCACUCUGGGAUAGCCACCGGAAACGGUGAUUAAUACCGGAUAUGACCACGUACUGCAUGGUGUGUGGUGGAAACUUUUUGGGGUGGGGAUGUGCUCGCGGCCUAUCAGCUUGUUGGUGGGUAAUGGCCUACCAAGGCUUCGACGGGUAGCCGGCCUGAGAGGUGACCGGCCACACUGGGACUGAGACACGGCCCAGACUCCUACGGGAGGCAGCAGUGGGGAAUAUUGGACAAUGGGCGGAAGCCUGAUCCAGGCAACGCCGACGGUGAGGAUGGACGGCCUUCGGUUGUAACCUCUUUCAGCAUCGACGAAGCGAA